GACGAACGCUGGCGGCGUGCUUAACACAUGCAAGUCGAACGGAAAGGCCCUGCUUUUGUUGGGUUCUCGUUUGGCGCACGCGUGAGUGACACGUGAGUAACCUGCCCCUGACUUUGUGAUAACUUCUGGAAACUGGGGCUAUUAUCGGGUAGGAUCUCCUGCUGCGUGGUGUGGGAUGGUAAGUUUCGGCGGUUUUGGAUGGACUCGCGGCUUAUCCGCUUGUUUGUGGGGUAGUGGCUGACCAAGGCUUUGACGGGUAGCCGGCCUGAGAGGGUGACCGGCCACAUUGGGACUGAGAGACGGACCAGACUCCUACGGGAGGCAGCAGUGGGGAAUAUUGCACAGUGGGCGGAAGCCUGAGGCAGCAACGCCGCGUGCGGGAUGACGGCCUUCGGGUUGUAAACCGCUUUCGCCUGUGACGAAGCGUGAGUGACGGUAAUGGGUAAAGAAGCACCGGCUAACUACGUG
Molecule: ribosomal RNA, 468 nt
Filed under: uncultured bacterium
Lineage: Bacteria
Description: partial 16S ribosomal RNA
Rfam family: Bacterial small subunit ribosomal RNA
Source: RNAcentral